CGCGGCAGCUGCGGGGUGAACCGACUGCGGCCGGUACCGGGCAGGGCCCGCGGCACGGGGCUGGGCGGGCGCGGUGCGGGCUGCAGGCCUAAGCAGGCGGCGGCUGAGGUCAGCAGGCUGUCCUGAGGCUCCGGGUGUCACGCUGCCGCGUCGUUACCUGCACUUUUGCUUCAGAUGGCCAGAAAAUAUUUUAAUGACCCUAAUGACCAUCGUGUCUGUUUCUUCGGUUGGACUUAGCUCCUGCUGUAGGUGUGUUAUGUGGGUGGAGGCAAAAAAAAAAAAAAAAAGCAUAAGAAAUUAAAAUAUUAAUCCUGUCCCUACCAAUAAACAACGCUUGGAGAAAAGUUGAAGCAGAAAUGAAUAUUCUUGUUUCAGCAUCUGCAUGUGGGUGAUUCCCUGUAAAAUGUGUCGAGUGAUUUAUUAAGGUCUGACCCAGCAAAGUGCAGAGAAGGCUCAUAUCCCACUGGCUUCAGAAGCAAUUAAGGGCUUUUCCAUGCACCUUCCAGGAUCAAGUUCUGAGGAUUCGGCAGUUCUCCUGGACUACACUUGUGUUCAGAUUUUUGUACGCUAACUUUCUUCGUCAUGCUUUCAUUUUGCACUGAGGUCAAAUAAAAGCUGUAUCCAAAACUUUCUUACUGAGGAAAAAAAAUCAGUUAAAUUAAUAUGAGUUUGAGCAAGAAAGGAAUACAGGCAUGAGUAAGAAGUUUGUCACAGCUAGUUUUUAUCUGGCAAAGAUUACUUGAGAUUUUCAUUCCAAAAAAAAAGUCACAGUCUACACCUGAAAAAAUUAUAGCUGUUAUAGUAAAUAAUAAAUAAAAUAUAGCAAGAAUAUUUACAUUGUAAUGAACAAUUUGUAGAACGAAAGCUAACAUUCAGCAAUUCUACCUGUGUUUCUGUCUUGAGAAUUUCACUCUGCCACAAAACAACAUGUAAAUCAAUGGAAAAUACUGGGAAUUGUAAAUCAAUAGCAGUUAUUUUACUGCUAAAAAGAAAAUCCAUUAUUCUAAUUUUCCUUGUUUGCUGUUUGCCCUCACACUCUAGAAUGUUCUCUUUUUUUUCUUUGAUAUUUUAAAAGCUGAUUUUAGGCAGUCUGUGAAGUAACAGUGAUCAGGAAAAUCUGCAAGGCAUUUGAAAGGAUUGCAUAAUCCAGAGGAUUUAUCUACAUCUGAUUGAAUUGAUUGACUAAGGAAAAAAAAACUUUUUUUUUUUUUAAAUGCAUGCUGCUUUUUAGAACACAAUGUAAGAGCAUUAAGUAUUUUAACAGGUAGUCUAAUUUGAACUAGUAAAAAGACAGCACAGCAUUCUUAAAUUCAGGAAAAAAAAUGUUCUUUCAGUUGUGUCUUUGCUAACAAUUUGGAAGCAUCCAUUGUAUUACUACUGCAGUGUUAUUGAGCUAGUUUUAUUAAGGCAAAUUUAUAGCAAUGUUAGAAAUUAAUACCACUCUUAUUUCCUCCACUGCCUGGCUUUAUUGAAUGCCAUGGGGCAUAUUAAUCAGUAAAGCCAAGUAGUGCAUGAAAUAAAAGUAUAAAUUAACCUGUAACAUGAAUGUAAAACGGGGCUUAAUAAAAUAGAAAUAAAUAACACUUUAAUGAUAAUCAACCCUGCCUGGCUUAGCCAAGCACAUAGUGUAAUAAUGCUAAAUACAAAAAAAAAAAAAGUAUUUAAAUAAAGUUUAAAUCAUGACACAAACUACAUAAUUUCCAAGGUUAAUACUUAAUUCACUAUAUUGUUUAAACACACAUAAGUUUGUGCAAAAACAACCACCUUUCUGGCCUGAAACUUCACCUAGCAAAAGUCCUGUCAACUUUGGAAGUAGGCCCAAAACACAGUGACUGAGAAUGUGAGAAGGAUUUCAGAGCAUUUCUGCAUUCUAAGCAUCUGUAUAAACAAAAAAGAGAUCUUUGCACACUAUAUUUUGUAUACACCCAAAAAGUAUCUCCAAUUAUCAACUAAAACCA
Long non-coding RNA from Cygnus olor (mute swan), 1958 nucleotides. RefSeq lists it as uncharacterized. NCBI's taxonomy places the organism in Eukaryota, Metazoa, Chordata, Aves, Anseriformes, Anatidae. The record is from RefSeq and is a predicted model, not a curated record. The transcript has 3 exons.